ACUGGAGUAGCUCAUUUGGUUUGAGCGUGUGGCUGUUAAACACAAGGUCGACAGUUCAAGUCUUUCCUCUAGCG
RNAcentral lists this transfer RNA (74 nucleotides) under Ipomoea nil (Japanese morning glory). It matches the Rfam family "tRNA". From Rfam's summary of the family: Transfer RNA (tRNA) molecules are approximately 80 nucleotides in length. Their secondary structure includes four short double-helical elements and three loops (D, anti-codon, and T loops). The record is from Rfam by way of RNAcentral. Lineage: Eukaryota; Viridiplantae; Streptophyta; Magnoliopsida; Solanales; Convolvulaceae.